GACGAACGCUGGCGGCGUGCUUAACACAUGCAAGUCGAACGGAAAGAUCCUGCUUUUGUGGGGUGCUCGAUUGGCGAACGGGUGAGUAACACGUGAGUAACCUGCCCCUGACUUUGGGAUAACUUCACGAAACUGGGGCUAAUACCCGAUAUGAUCUCCUGCUGCAUGUUGUGGGUUGGAAAGUUUCGGCUGUUGGGGAUGGACUCGCGGCUUAUCAGCUUGUUGGUGGGGUAGUGGCUUACCAAGGCUUUGACGGGUAGCCGGCCUGAGAGGGUGACCGGCCACAUUGGGACUGAGAUACGGACCAGACUCCUACGGGAGGCAGCAGUGGGGAAUAUUGCACAAUGGGCGGAAGCCUGAUGCAGAAACGCCGCGUGCGGGAUGACGGCCUUCGGGUUGUAAACCGCUUUCGCCUGUGACGAAGAGUGAGUGACGGUAAUGGGUAAAGAAGCAACGGCUAACUACGUG
RNAcentral lists this ribosomal RNA (468 nucleotides) under uncultured bacterium. RNAcentral describes it as "partial 16S ribosomal RNA". It matches the Rfam family "Bacterial small subunit ribosomal RNA", at positions 28 to 507 of the family's 1533-position model. The record is from RNAcentral.